GCGUAUUUCGUUACUCACAUGUUUUUACAUCGCUAAAAAGGAUCAAGUGAAAUUGUGCAGUCUUGCAACGGAAAAAAUUAAAUGAUUUUGUACACUUCAUCGUCAGGUAAAUCUUUCCAUUAAAGGGCCACAAUUUUCAAAAAUUGGUUGGAGGUUAUUUCGACAGGACUUCCCUCACGCCUGAAGUACAGCCCAACAAAUUCCGCUUUUUUGAAAAAUUAAACAAACAUAUUUUGCGAACUUUUAUUUAUGAGAACCUCUGUACAUUAAAACAAAUAUGUUUUGACACCCUAUAAUUUUUUACUUCUUCAGCGUAAGCCACUGCCACAUAUGUUUUCUUGACGUUUCAUUUCCCCUAGGGUACGAAAAAAGUAGUUUCUCGUUUUCGUUUGUCUAUCUGUCUGUCUGUCUGUCUGUCGUCUAUGUCGAUUUUUAUUUAUAUAUAUAGGAUUAAAAAAUUAUGCGUUACGGGUUAGAAUCUCAGAGGUAGCUAUGUAAAAUGAUAUAUUUGUUACUAACAUGCUAUUCUGUUGCGUUUCUACCACAUAACAUAAUACAGGUUUAGUAUUUUGUGUUUAUAAAUGUUUACAAGAGCUGUCCAAACUCUAAAUGCUGUCAAAUCUCCGACGAACACAACACCAUCAACUUAGCGGACUGGUCAAUUCAGUUAGAUUAAAAGAUUCUGUAACUAGGUGGAAAUGGAAGUAAUGAGUGUGACGCAUCUGAUGAUUCUGAUGAAAUACAAAAAUAUAGUACUCGUAUUCUAUUUACUAAAUAUAACUCGUAGAGGCUUGGAGAUCUAUUGAAAAAGUGAAAGUUAUUAUUGAUGGAAUCUUAAAUCUUGUAAGUAAUUACGAAAACAACUAUCCUUCUACCUCAAUAUGUACAGUUAAUUUGACUGCAACUGCAAGUAAUGCUGCUUCUGUUUGUUCAUCAACUUCAAGUAGAAAAAAACUAAAACGCUUGGUUUCGUCGAUAAUCUAGAAGUUACAAUAUAAGCACAUAAUUGACUCGAAGCACUUUAGAAAUUUCAUGAAAAGGCAAUACAACCAGUAUAUGAAAAGAAGGUAGGGGAAAGUGGGGCAUAACCAGGUAGCUAGUGUUUGACGGUCUGCCAACAUGAAACUGUUGCUUAAAAAUUGAAAAGUUUUUUAGGAAACGUUGCAUUCGUUUUCAAAACACUUGGUGGUUGCGUACGAAAAUCUUGUUUUUAUGGUAGGAAGCGAAGACCGUGCAAAUGGUUUAUUCUGUUGAACAAGACACUUCUUUCAUCGUUAUGUCUUGUCAUCGCAAUGGGACUUCGGAAAGGAAGAGUGGUGUAUCCUGUAACCGCUUGUAAGCAAGAGUAUCUGGCCAAAUACCCUGAUUUAAUAAUUCAAGAAUCAUCGUUAGAGGCUCACAUUAGAGAUGUAAUCAACAGAUUUGUUCGAACUGGCAGUGCCACCAAAGAUAAAUCUCGUGGAAGAUUUGAGCAGAAUUGAACAGUUGAACAGCGGGUCCAAAGUUUUGACGAAAGAAUGUUACAGAAUAUUUUUGAAAUUAAAAAGAGAGUGAACAUGUCUUUUGAACAAAAUGAUGAACAUUUUCAACAUUUACUGUGAUGUUUAACCGCAAUAAAUUUGUUUCUUUUUAUUGUAAUGAAUUAGUUUAAUUUUUUAAAAAGAUGUGAAGCGUUCAGGCAAC
This is a long non-coding RNA of Zophobas morio, 1683 nucleotides long. RefSeq lists it as uncharacterized. The record is from RefSeq and is a predicted model, not a curated record. The transcript has 3 exons. Lineage: Eukaryota; Metazoa; Arthropoda; Insecta; Coleoptera; Tenebrionidae.